CACAGCCACAACUACACGAAAGUAUAUAAAAAAAAUAUAUAGAUAUACACGGUGGUAGUAUCAAAGCAGCAGCAACAAAGAAAUACAAGGCUCACACAAAUUCAAAGGAAUACUCCCGAAACAAAACUAUACCCAAUAAUGGAAUAUGCAAUACUGAAAUAAUACUAACAAUGGAAUAUGCAAUAAUGAAAUAAAAUGAAAUAUGAAAUAACGAAAUUAACAAAGGUUAGAG
Molecule: long non-coding RNA, 232 nt
Filed under: Capsicum annuum
Lineage: Eukaryota; Viridiplantae; Streptophyta; Magnoliopsida; Solanales; Solanaceae
Description: long non-coding RNA (CANN_LNC009307)
Source: RNAcentral